CCCUUUCAGGUUUUCAAUCCACCGAGAUGCUCAUUUUUGCCUAAGCCGCCCUUUCGGGUUUUCAACUUAGCGAGCUAUUCUUUUCUUUUUAGGCGAAGUAUUUCUUAACUGCAUCUGCGUUUACAGGACGGGUGAACUCUUCACCAUCCAUAGUUGUAAGAAUCAAUGCACCGCCUGAGAAGGCUUUCUUAACAACAUAUGAGCCUUCAUAAUUAGGAGUCCAUUUGCCCCUAGAGUCUUGCUUGAAAGAUAGGAUCUUCUUGAGCACAAGGUCACCUUCUCU
RNAcentral lists this long non-coding RNA (283 nucleotides) under Lathyrus oleraceus (garden pea). Its description in RNAcentral is "Pisum sativum (pea) long non-coding RNA (PSAT_LNC005602)". The record is from RNAcentral. Lineage: Eukaryota; Viridiplantae; Streptophyta; Magnoliopsida; Fabales; Fabaceae.